This 512-nucleotide long non-coding RNA is filed under the name Olea europaea (common olive). RNAcentral describes it as "long non-coding RNA (OEUR_LNC000980)". The record is from RNAcentral. Lineage: Eukaryota; Viridiplantae; Streptophyta; Magnoliopsida; Lamiales; Oleaceae.
AGAAUCCAAAUUUAGGAUGUUGGAAAGGAGGAAGGUUGGGGAGUGGAGGGCAGGGUUUCUUAUAGAAUGGUGGGAGUGGUUUAUAAAUUGGAAUUGGAGGUGGAAGUGGCUUUACUAUUGGAGGAAUGUAAAUUGGUGGCUUUGGCUUGUAGAUUGGAAUUGGAGGUGGAAGUGGCUUUACUAUUGGAGGGAUGUAAAUUGGUGGCUUUGGCUUGUAGAUUGGAACUGGUGGUGGUAGUGGCUUUACUACCGGGGGUAUGUAAACCGGUGGCUUUGGCUUGUAGGUUGGAACUGGUGGUGGUAGUGGCUUUAUUAUCGGAGGUAUGUAAAUCGGUGGCUUUGGCUUUGGUUUGUAGAUAGGAACUGGUGGUGGAAGAGGCUUUACUACCGGAGGUUUGUAAACUGGUGGCUUUGGCUUUGGUUUGUAGAUUGGAACUGGUGGUGGAAGCGGCUUUACUGGAGGCUUUGGCUUGUAAAUAGGGACAGGUGGAGGAAGUGGCUUUGGUUUGUAA